CUAUCGUCUAGAGGCCUAGGACAUCGCCCUUUCACGGCGGUAACCGGGGUUCGAAUCCCCGUAGGGACGCCA
RNAcentral lists this transfer RNA (72 nucleotides) under Acinetobacter johnsonii. RNAcentral's name for it is "tRNA-Glu". It matches the Rfam family "tRNA". From Rfam's summary of the family: Transfer RNA (tRNA) molecules are approximately 80 nucleotides in length. Lineage: Bacteria; Pseudomonadati; Pseudomonadota; Gammaproteobacteria; Moraxellales; Moraxellaceae. RNAcentral also lists the same sequence under 1 other name. The record is from RNAcentral.